RNAcentral lists this ribosomal RNA (207 nucleotides) under uncultured bacterium. Its description in RNAcentral is "partial 16S ribosomal RNA". It matches the Rfam family "Bacterial small subunit ribosomal RNA", at positions 568 to 774 of the family's 1533-position model. The record is from RNAcentral.
UGCGUAGGCGGCUUUUUAAGUUUGGUGUGAAAUCUCCCGGCUCAACUGGGAGGGUGCGCCGAAUACUGAGAAGCUAGAGUGUGGGAGAGGAAAGUGGAAUUCCUGGUGUAGCGGUGAAAUGCGUAGAUAUCAGGAGGAACACCGGUGGUGUAAACGGCUUUCUGGACCAUAACUGACGCUGAGGCACGAAAGCGUGGGUAGCAAACA